GAAUCCCCUAACUAUGUCUGUUGCAACAAGCUCAUCAAUUGAUCAUACUGGUGUCUGCUCAACUCUGGUAUCACAGAGCUGUGACCAUCUAUGUGUGUAACAUGUUGAUGGCUGGCAGGAGGAUCCCCAAGAGGAACAGACAAAUUAGGAUUUCCAUGGUUAACACACACAUUACUCACCAGAGGAGACAUGAGCAGCUACAGAUUUUCUUCCCUUGUUGUAGUUUAUGUUUUGAGGAAACCCAUGGAUCUUGUAGCACUUAUCAAUUAAGUGCCCAGAUUUCUUGCAGUAUCUGCAAAAUAAGGGUCCUCUGCUUUGCUUAAUAUUAACUAUGGGUCUGAAAAUAGGGGGUCUAGGCACUGUGGCCUGAUUAAACCCAGCUGAGUGCUUGUUUGCAUGAGCAUUAAAAGACAUAGAGUCUGGACUGAUUUGAGAAAUGGAUUGAACUUGUCUUUGUUUCUCAUCAUUAAGCACUAUGUUGUGUUAACUCUGGGUCUGAAAAUAGGAGGUCUAGGCACUGUGGCCUGAUUAAACCCAGCUGAGUGCUUGUUUGCAUGAGCAAUAAAAGACAUAAUGUCUGGACUGAUUUGAGAAACAGGUUGAACUUGUCUCUGUUUCUCAUCAUUAAGCACUAUGUUGUAAACACUGUCAAGGGAAGGAAAGAAAUAGAUUGAACUUGUCUCUGUUUCUCAUCAUUAAGCACUAUAUUGUAGACACUGUCAAGGGAAGGAAAUGGCUGCAUCAUCAACAAGUUACUCCUAACUCCCAUGUAUGCUUCAUUUAACCCCAUAAGAAACUGGAAUACCUUGUUUUCAUCAUCUUCCUCAAUUAUUCCAUUUUUAGCAGCACACACAUCUCUGCCCAUGAUUGCACAUUGUGCCCAAUUCAUCCCACAAGCCUUUGAGCUUGUUAAAAUAUGAGGCCACGUCUAAGGAGCCUUGAGAUGUGAGGAAAGUUCCCUUUUUAAUUCAAAAAUUUUGGUCUUGUUAAGGGUACCAUAUUUUUUCUCAAUUUGGAACCAUAUACUCUGUGCAGUAUCAGAAUACUGCACACUAUCAGCAAUUUGAGGAGACAGAGAGGAGGUCAACCAGGAAAUGACCAUGUUAUUACAUCUGUCCCACAGUCUCUGUUGAGCCACAUUAAUGGCAGGACGAGGACACGAACCGUCAACAAAACCGAUUUUAUUUUUAGCGGAGAAGCCAACAAUCAUCUUACGCCUCCAGCCCCCAUAACCACUACCCGAGAAGGGAGUGGGAACAAGAGAAACCCCAGGGACAUCAGAAGAAUAUACAAAAAGGGGGCUAGAAGAGUCUACAGAGGAGGAGGUACCAGCAUUUGUGUUAGAAGCCAUAAUCAAUGAACCGGCUAAAAAAAUAGUUUUUCAACAAACAGAGUAUAACCAAAUCAGGUAUUCACACACAACACCAGAUACUCACAUAUAGAGUCAGAUAAUCAAAAGCGGUUUUAUUUUUAGCGGAGAAGGCAACAAUCAUCUUACGCCUCCAGCCCCCAUAACCACUACCCGAGAAGGGAGUGGGAACAAGAGAAACCCCAGGGACAUCAGAAGAAUAUACAAAAAGGGGGCUAAAAGAGUCUACAGAGGAGGAGUACCAGCAUUUGUGUUAGAAGCCAUAAUCAAUGAACCGGCUAAAAAAAUAGUUUUUCAACAAACAAAGUAUAACCAAAUCAGGUAUUCACACACAACACCAGAUACUCACAUACAGAGUCAGAUAAUCACACACAAUACUCAAGAUAAGGACAGAGUUACCCUCCUUCUUCGCCACCGGAGAAGAUCGGCCUUCAAACAACAAAGAAAACCCUAGGUACAAAACCCUAGGUGUAACUGUCAAAAUCCUUACUGGAAAUGUGGUCAGGGAUGUCAGAAAGGCACCCAAAACAUCCACGGAGUGAGAAUCGAGCCACCGGAUAGCAGUAAAACUCUAGGUUAAACCACCAGAAACCCUAGAACAGGGAUGUCGGAAAGGCACCCAAAACAUCCACUGAGUGAGAAUCGAGCCACCGGAUAGCAGUAAAACUCUAGGAUAAACCACCAGAAACCCUAGAAGCCGAUAGGUCACCGGAAAAUCAACCAAAAAUCAGCAGAAAAUCUCCCAGAAUGUUCGAGUGAAGAAAAUACACUCAGAUAUCAUGAUGAAAAACUCGGAAAGGCAUCCGAUCUAGGUCGGAAUCAUCAUCGACCACAAGGUCUCAGAAAAAUCUCCAAAAAUCUCAAAGAAGAGUUCAACCAAGACAACUAGAUGCAGAGAAACAUAGUCGGAUCGUCGUCUAGGCUCUGAUACCAUGUGAACAUUGAGAUUAAACAGAAAGAAUGUAGAGAGAGAAACUAGAGAGAAGGAGGAGCGUUUGAGAGAAGACUCUGGAAGCCAGAGGAUUUUAUUAGACAGAAAACAAAAUGAAA
RNAcentral lists this long non-coding RNA (2419 nucleotides) under Nicotiana benthamiana. Its description in RNAcentral is "long non-coding RNA (NBEN_LNC013813)". Lineage: Eukaryota; Viridiplantae; Streptophyta; Magnoliopsida; Solanales; Solanaceae. The record is from RNAcentral.